UCUGGACGAUCGAACAGAAGACAAGGGUUGAAACCCUAGCAUCAAGAAAUCAAGCAAUUUAGCUUGAAUCAAAGGAAAAAUUCGAUGCAUGAUUCCCUAAACUCGAGUAGCUAACCUCAAUUUCCGAAGUGGAGUGAAAGAAGAAGGUUCGAACGCUAGGAAAUCGGAAGGAUCACAAGACCAAGGUAAUUCCUCAAUUUAGGCGACUUGGAGAAUUGGAGCGAGCACAUGUUCAUGAUAUGUCAUACCAAACGCUUCCGCUAGUUGCACUAAUGUUUUGGGUCAAAAUUUCUAUUUUGUACAACUUGUUAGUAGACAUAUAUUUUAACGCUUGAUGCCUAGGUUUUUAGUAGUGCCUUGUCGAACAAUUUGUAGAAUGGUAUUUGUCUUUCUUAUGUUUAAAACAGGGGUAUAUCCGUUUUACGGACGGGUCAUGCCCAAAUUUUGUUAAAAUCAUGUGUUAAUGUU
Molecule: long non-coding RNA, 468 nt
Organism: Helianthus annuus (common sunflower)
Lineage: Eukaryota; Viridiplantae; Streptophyta; Magnoliopsida; Asterales; Asteraceae
Exons: 3
Source: RefSeq, a predicted model, not a curated record